GGAUGUGGGGGUGAUCUGGCUGUGACAUCUGUCACCGCGUUGAUCUCUGGGGUUGAUUCGGCUGAUCUGGCUGGCUAGGCGGGUGUCCCCUUCCCUGCUCAAUGCUCCAUGUGUGUCCCUCCUGAAGCUGCGUGCUCAUCGAAGCGGGUGACCCCAGAGAGAGGAGACCGCUUCUCGGUCAAGGGUGUGAGAAUAGCUGCACUCCCUGCGAGAGCCUCCAAGCAAGCUCUCAAGGACCCCAGUCAAACUGAAUUAGGCUUCGCA
This 264-nucleotide small nuclear RNA is filed under the name Chinchilla lanigera (long-tailed chinchilla). RNAcentral describes it as "7SK RNA (ENSCLAG00000021484.1)". It matches the Rfam family "7SK RNA", at positions 1 to 279 of the family's 331-position model. Rfam says of the family: 7SK was discovered as an abundant small nuclear RNA in the mid-70s but a possible function has only recently been suggested. The record is from RNAcentral. Lineage: Eukaryota; Metazoa; Chordata; Mammalia; Rodentia; Chinchillidae.